CAUCACCUCCUCUCGGACGGCUCUUUUGCUCGGCUGUCUUGUCUUCUCCAAAAGUACAAAAGGCUCUUUUGCAAUUUGAUGUCCACUCAAAAUCUACUUUUCAGUUUUUAUUUUUUAUUUUGAAUGCUAUAUAGAAUAUUUUUUAUUUUGGAUUCUGUAAUUCUGGAUUUUUGAAUGUUACAUCAAAUUUUAUAAUAUGGAUUAUCUUUAUGAUGAGAACAAUGGAAUACUUAAUGAUGAUUAUGAUUACUAA
Molecule: non-coding RNA, 253 nt
Organism: Arachis ipaensis
Lineage: Eukaryota; Viridiplantae; Streptophyta; Magnoliopsida; Fabales; Fabaceae
Source: RefSeq, a predicted model, not a curated record